CCUACGGGUUGCAGCAGUGGGGAAUAUUGCACAAUGGGCGCAAGCCUGAUGCAGCCAUGCCGCGUGUAUGAAGAAGGCCUUCGGGUUGUAAAGCACUUUUGGCAGGAAAGAAACGUCAUGGGUUAAUACCCCGUGAAACUGACGGUACCUGCAGAAUAAGCACCGGCUAACUACGUGCCAGCAGCCGCGGUAAUACGUAGGGUGCAAGCGUUAAUCGGAAUUACUGGGCGUAAAGCGUGCGCAGGCGGUUCGGAAAGAAAGAUGUGAAAUCCCAGAGCUUAACUUUGGAACUGCAUUUUUAACUACCGGGCUAGAGUGUGUCAGAGGGAGGUGGAAUUCCGCGUGUAGCAGUGAAAUGCGUAGAUAUGCGGAGGAACACCGAUGGCGAAGGCAGCCUCCUGGGAUAACACUGACGCUCAUGCACGAAAGCGUGGGGAGCAAACAGGAUUAGAUACCCGUGUAGUC
Molecule: ribosomal RNA, 465 nt
Filed under: uncultured bacterium
Lineage: Bacteria
Description: bacterial SSU rRNA
Rfam family: Bacterial small subunit ribosomal RNA
Source: RNAcentral